GUGCUUGCUUCAGCAGCACAUAUACUGUACUAUACAGAGUAUAAUAGAGAUUAGCAUAUCCUCUACACGAGGAUAACAUGCAAAUUUAUGAAGAGUUCCAUAUUUUU
Molecule: small nuclear RNA, 107 nt
Organism: Fukomys damarensis (Damara mole-rat)
Lineage: Eukaryota; Metazoa; Chordata; Mammalia; Rodentia; Bathyergidae
Source: Ensembl